CCCGCAGCCGGGACUGGAGUCUCCUCAGGAUAACGCCGGUGCCUUCGCAGCCGCAGUCAAAACCACAUUAUCUAUGUUAAGUUAUCAUUUGUAUGAUCCUGAGAGGCACUCUGCAGUUCCCAGUAACAGAAGCAUGAACUGUAUUAAUGCGUCUACCAUACCAAAGAGAGAUUCUAGCUGGAAGAAACAAUCGGUGCAGUGCUC
Long non-coding RNA from Pipra filicauda (Wire-tailed manakin), 204 nucleotides. RefSeq lists it as uncharacterized. The record is from RefSeq and is a predicted model, not a curated record. NCBI's taxonomy places the organism in Eukaryota, Metazoa, Chordata, Aves, Passeriformes, Pipridae. The transcript is spliced from 3 exons.